ACCCUCCAGUUCCCUUUCCCAUUGGAUCUGAACACUGGUCUUAGUGGCUACCAUAAAGGAGGAAAAGUUUUUUGAAAAGUUAUCUUAGAACUUUAGAUCUUUUUUAACAAAA
Small nucleolar RNA from Heterocephalus glaber (naked mole-rat), 112 nucleotides. The record is from Ensembl. Lineage: Eukaryota; Metazoa; Chordata; Mammalia; Rodentia; Bathyergidae.